Molecule: ribosomal RNA, 497 nt
Filed under: Pseudomonas sp.
Lineage: Bacteria; Pseudomonadati; Pseudomonadota; Gammaproteobacteria; Pseudomonadales; Pseudomonadaceae
Description: bacterial SSU rRNA
Rfam family: Bacterial small subunit ribosomal RNA
Source: RNAcentral
UGGCUCAGAUUGAACGCUGGCGGCAGGCCUAACACAUGCAAGUCGAGCGGAUGACAGGAGCUUGCUCCUGGAUUCAGCGGCGGACGGGUGAGUAAUGCCUAGGAAUCUGCCUGGUAGUGGGGGACAACGUUUCGAAAGGAACGCUAAUACCGCAUACGUCCUACGGGAGAAAGCAGGGGACCUUCGGGCCUUGCGCUAUCAGAUGAGCCUAGGUCGGAUUAGCUUGUUGGUGAGGUAAUGGCUCACCAAGGCGACGAUCCGUAACUGGUCUGAGAGGAUGAUCAGUCACACUGGAACUGAGACACGGUCCAGACUCCUACGGGAGGCAGCAGUGGGGAAUAUUGGACAAUGGGCGAAAGCCUGAUCCAGCCAUGCCGCGUGUGUGAAGAAGGUCUUCGGAUUGUAAAGCACUUUAAGUNNNAGGAAGGGUUGUAGAUUAAUACUCUGCAAUUUUGACGUUACCGACAGAAUAAGCACCGGCUAACUCUGUGCCAGCA